UUAGAGUUUGAUCCUGGCUCAAGAUGAACGCUAGCGGCAGGCCUAACACAUGCAAGUCGAGGGGCAGCACUUCGGGUGGCGACCGGCGCACGGGUGAGUAACGCGUAUGUAACCUGCCCAUCAGUUAGGGAUAGCCCAGUGAAAACUGGAUUAAUACCUAAUGCAAUGUAAUGACAGCAUUCGAAUUACAUUAAAGAUUAAUCGCUGAUGGAUGGACAUGCGUAAGAUUAGCUAGUUGGCGGGGUAACGGCCCACCAAGGCGACGAUCUUUAGGGGUUCUGAGAGGAAGGUCCCCCACAUUGGUACUGAGACACGGACCAAACUCCUACGGGAGGCAGCAGUGAGGAAUAUUGGUCAAUGGGCGGAAGCCUGAACCAGCCAAGUCGCGUGAAGGAUGAAGGUAUUAUGUAUUGUAAACUUCUUUAGCAGCAGAGUAAUAAGGCGGUCGUGACCGCCGAUGCAAGUAUGCUGAGAAUAAGGAUCGGCUAACUCCGUGCCAGCAGCCGCGGUAAUACGGAGGAUCCGAGCGUUAUCCGGAUUUAUUGGGUUUAAAGGGUGCGCAGGCGGCGUUUUAAAUCCAGUGGUCAAAUCGUGAGGCUCAACCCUCUUCCCGCCCAUGAAUACUGGAGCGCUUGAUUGGCGGUCGGGGCCGGCGGGAAUUCGUGGUGUAGCGGGGAAAAUGCAAAGAUAUCCGGAAGAACGCCGGUGGCGAAGGCGGCCACCUGGACUACAACUGACGCUGAGGUGCGAAAGCGUGGGGUAGCAAACAGGAUUAGAUACCCUGGUAGUCCACGCCGUAAACGAUGGAUGCUGGAUGCCGGCUCCUUGAGGGUCGGUGUCGUAGCCAACGCGAUAAGCAUCCCGCCUGGGGAGUACGGUCGCAAGGCUGAAACUCAAAGAAAUUGACGGGGGCCCGCACAAGCGGUGGAGUAUGUGGUUUAAUUCGAUGCAACGCGAAGAACCUUACCCAGGCUUGACAUCCAGGGGACCCUAAUGAAAGUUAGGGGUGCCCUUCGGGGAACCCUGAGACAGGUGCUGCAUGGCUGUCGUCAGCUCGUGUCGUGAGAUGUUGGGUUAAGUCCCGCAACGAGCGCAACCCCUAUGAUCAGUUACUAACGCGUAAUGGCGAGGACUCUGAUAAGACUGCCGGGGACAACUCGGAGGAAGGUGGGGACGACGUCAAAUCAUCAUGCCCCUUAUGACCUGGGCUACAAACGUGCUACAAUGGUGGCUACAAAGAGGAGCGAGCCUGUAAAGGUAAGCGGAUCUCAAAAAAACCAUCCCAGUUCGGAAUGUGGGCUGCAACCCGCCCACACGAAGUCGGAGUUGCUAGUAAUCCCGAAUCAGAAUGUCGGGGUGAAUGAAAGGCCGGGUCUUGCACACACCGCCCGUCAAG
RNAcentral lists this ribosomal RNA (1396 nucleotides) under uncultured bacterium. Its description in RNAcentral is "partial 16S ribosomal RNA". It matches the Rfam family "Bacterial small subunit ribosomal RNA". The record is from RNAcentral.